AAUGUCACUCUACUCAAGAAGCACUCUAAAGAUUCGCUUUUUUGAUAAUUCGCAGAACAUAAAAAGAACCACAUUUAAAAACCGAGGAGAGGGGGGAAGGAUGAAGAGUGUGAAGGAAGAGCGAGUGU
RNAcentral lists this non-coding RNA (128 nucleotides) under Platyophrya macrostoma. Lineage: Eukaryota; Ciliophora; Colpodea; Cyrtolophosidida; Platyophryidae. The record is from RNAcentral.